RNAcentral lists this long non-coding RNA (333 nucleotides) under Vicia faba (fava bean). The record is from RNAcentral. Lineage: Eukaryota; Viridiplantae; Streptophyta; Magnoliopsida; Fabales; Fabaceae.
AUGACCUUACUAUUUCUAAGCAAAAAAGAACAGAGUGGAAAAGAGAGGAAAAGUUACAGUAAAACCAAAAGAAAAUUGCAAGAAGGAGAAGAACGGAGAAACGACACAGCUACGUUUCAGCACCGCUUCGACAUCCCGACUACGACUCCCCAUCAGACCCACGAAUCUCCUUCGUCGUCAAAGGAACCACAUCAUCGGAAAUCCAGAUUACCGGCCGAUUUCCCGGCGAAGCCACUGCCCGCUUCCGAUCUGUGCUCAUCUGCCGUCACGCUCCGACGGACAGUUACACGCGAACUCAGCCCUCACCGUCAUGAGUCGACCACAUUUUUCUGA